UUCAGAGUCUGGCGGCGCGUUCCCAUUAUCAUCUUCCUGUGACCCUUCCUCAUUUUACACGGAGGAGGUGGUCUCCACAGUGAUUUUAAAUUUAAUAUUUCUCUCAUAACCUUUGUGAGAUAAAAGAAUCUUCAUCCUUUUAACUUUGACGAGGGAUGAAAUGAAGUUUUCCACAACAUUUGGGAAGAUUUACAAGGUAUACUCCAUUUAGGCAAAAAUAACUGUCAGGGAAUAGUCAUUGUCAAGAGCAGUUUGUAUUGCAACCCACAAAUUAUACCUCUAUGUCGGUCCAGAAAUCCUUCAAUUUACCAAGAGAUUAUGUUUGAAAAUCUUAGAAAAAAUAAACAAUCCUGAAAAACUAAGUAGGUAACUCUACCAGAGGGGCUCAGACUGAUCAGCCAGUGGCAGUGAGAGCACAUUUUUCAUAGUACCACAAGAUUAUCCAUGUUGAGCUGACAUCGGAGUUCCUAUCAUAAUAUCUAAUCACUCAAUAAUAUCUAAUUACUCAAGACUUUCAGAGUGUUUUCACAUCUGCUAUCCGGUACCAGAGUGUUAGCUCCAGGAGGCAAAGGUUUUGGUUCUUUUUGUUCACCGCUGUAUUUUUAGUGCUUAGAACUGAACUUGGUACAUACUAAGUGCUCAAUAAAUGGUACUCAAUAAAUG
This 663-nucleotide long non-coding RNA is filed under the name Homo sapiens (human). RNAcentral describes it as "HSALNT0012964". The record is from RNAcentral. Lineage: Eukaryota; Metazoa; Chordata; Mammalia; Primates; Hominidae.